Long non-coding RNA from Salvia miltiorrhiza (redroot sage), 698 nucleotides. RefSeq lists it as uncharacterized. The transcript is spliced from 2 exons. Lineage: Eukaryota; Viridiplantae; Streptophyta; Magnoliopsida; Lamiales; Lamiaceae. The record is from RefSeq and is a predicted model, not a curated record.
CCUGUCAAUACAAAAGCCCGAAAUAUCAGUUAUCUAUGCAGCUAAAAUGUGGCAAAAUUCUUUGAAAAAUCCUAAGAUUUUGUGCACAAAACUCUGAAAAUCACUUUAGAGUUUAUGCAUCGAAUCCAUGUUGAGAGGCGAAGUUGAAGAGUUUAAUCAUGUUUCAGAAGUGACCAAGGAAAAUUGAUAUCAAGUUGAGGAAUCUGAACCUAAGACCUCCCAGCUUCAGCGUUUUUGUGGCCUCACCUUUAAACUUACAAGGUAAUCGCUAACUUUUUAAGGCAAUUCCGAUGAUGUGAAUCCUCAAUCAACACUCAACUAGUACUAAAAGAAGGUGUCAAGCCUCUAUUAUUAGCCUAUAAUGAAUACGUCUUGUAAUAUAACAACUGAACAUAUACACGGGAGCCCAACUUCUAUAAGUAAUGUUUUGACAAAGCAGAGCAGAGACUAGUAUUUGAUGUUGUGACCCUGUGACAUGUUUCACAUUUGAGGCCCGAGCAAGACAUUGAAGCUCAAUUAUUACUUUACUAUAUCACAUCAUGUACGUUUCAAGUCGGUUAGAGUAGUUAAGUAUUAAGUAUUAAGUCACAGUCAAGCUCAUAAUGGAUUUAAGAAAUCUAAGGUGUGCUGAACUAAGAAGAGUUGACUUGUAAGCAUAUUGCUAUUAUUUUUUCCCAACUAAAGCAUAAGCCACUUGA